GAUGAACGCUGGCGGCGUGCCUAAUACAUGCAAGUCGAGCGAACGGGCGAGAAGCUUGCUUCUCUGAUGUUAGCGGCGGACGGGUGAGUAACACGUGGAUAACCUACCUAUAAGACUGGGAUAACUUCGGGAAACCGGAGCUAAUACCGGAUAAUAUUUUGAACCGCAUGGUUCAAAAGUGAAAGACGGUCUUGCUGUCACUUAUAGAUGGAUCCGCGCUGCAUUAGCUAGUUGGUAAGGUAACGGCUUACCAAGGCAACGAUGCAUAGCCGACCUGAGAGGGUGAUCGGCCACACUGGAACUGAGACACGGUCCAGACUCCUACGGGAGGCAGCAGUAGGGAAUCUUCCGCAAUGGGCGAAAGCCUGACGGAGCAACGCCGCGUGAGUGAUGAAGGUCUUCGGAUCGUAAAACUCUGUUAUUAGGGAAGAACAUAUGUGUAAGUAACUGUGCACAUCUUGACGGUACCUAAUCAGAAAGCCGCGGCUAACUACGUG
RNAcentral lists this ribosomal RNA (497 nucleotides) under uncultured bacterium. Its description in RNAcentral is "partial 16S ribosomal RNA". It matches the Rfam family "Bacterial small subunit ribosomal RNA", at positions 28 to 507 of the family's 1533-position model. The record is from RNAcentral.